Long non-coding RNA from Lolium rigidum, 796 nucleotides. RefSeq lists it as uncharacterized. NCBI's taxonomy places the organism in Eukaryota, Viridiplantae, Streptophyta, Magnoliopsida, Poales, Poaceae. The transcript is spliced from 3 exons. The record is from RefSeq and is a predicted model, not a curated record.
AUUGGAUUUUGGUUGGAUUAUACAAGCUGCUCGAGAUCCACAAAAUUCGUUGAGAAGCGGCCACCCGCAUCUGAAAUUCGUUGAGGAACACCACGGGUAGAGAUCUGGAAAAUUCGUGCUCUCCGAAUCUCCAAACAUAUUAUAUUUUCAUCAGGAUCGCUGCCACCAUAAGGAACUUUUUUCCGACAGUCUCGUGGUUCAUACAAACCUCGAUUGGGCUGCCAUUUAUAGUGGGAUAAAAGGUCCUCCAAAUUAUGCUAGCUGAAUAACUUCUGUCAACAGCAUACAAUUGGUGCUCUAAGCACAUGCUUUGUAUUCUUCUUGCAGGUUAAUAUUACAAGUGCAUUAGAAAAAGAAGUAUUCUGCGUUGAUUUUUGUACCAUUGCUCCGGGUUGUGUUACAAAAUGUAUGAAUGUAUUCGCUCAAUACACAAUCUUGGCCAUGAGUCACAAGAAGGUUCUUCAUGUCUGCAUUCUUGCUCAGCUAUGUGCAAUUACCAACUACUGAGCAUAUCUUUUGAGACUGCAGAGAAGUCUGUCUUCAGUUCUUUACCAAGGAAUGCAGAGAAGUCAGUCUUCUGUUCUUUACCAAGGAAUGGGAAGAAGACAUUUUCAUAUAAUACUACUGCCAACCACAUUGGAUCUAUGGUCAGUCCAUUGUAUGUUAUAGUAUACUGAUGUUAUCUUCAGCCAUUUCUUCAUUGUUGGAAUAAUGAAUCUGUUUAAUUUACUUAUCGUCUUACAUGAGACAGCUUUUAGGGCGGUGCAUACAUCCAGCGAGUGUUCAAAUGCAUAAG